GAUGAACGCUGGCGGCGUGCUUAACACAUGCAAGUCGAACGAUGAAGCUCAGCUUGCUGGGUGGAUUAGUGGCGAACGGGUGAGUAACACGUGAGUAACCUGCCCUUAACUCUGGGAUAAGCCUGGGAAACUAGGUCUAAUACCGGAUAGGAGCGCCUACCGCAUGGUGGGUGUUGGAAAGAUUUAUCGGUUUUGGAUGGACGCGCGGCCUAUCAGCUUGUUGGUGAGGUAAUGGCUCACCAAGGCGACGACGGGUAGCCGGCCUGAGAGGGUGACAGGCCACACUGGGACUGAGACACGGCCCAGACUCCUACGGGAGGCAGCAGUGGGGAAUAUUGCACAAUGGGCGAAAGCCUGAUGCAGCGACGCCGCGUGAGGGAUGACGGCCUUCGGGUUGUAAACCUCUUUCAGUAGGGAAGAAGCGAAAGUGACGGUACCUGCAGAAGAAGCACCGGCUAACUACGUG
Molecule: ribosomal RNA, 466 nt
Filed under: uncultured bacterium
Lineage: Bacteria
Description: partial 16S ribosomal RNA
Rfam family: Bacterial small subunit ribosomal RNA
Source: RNAcentral